RNAcentral lists this transfer RNA (68 nucleotides) under Prionobrama filigera (glass bloodfin tetra). RNAcentral's name for it is "tRNA-Tyr". It matches the Rfam family "tRNA". Rfam says of the family: Transfer RNA (tRNA) molecules are approximately 80 nucleotides in length. Their secondary structure includes four short double-helical elements and three loops (D, anti-codon, and T loops). The record is from RNAcentral. Lineage: Eukaryota; Metazoa; Chordata; Actinopteri; Characiformes; Characidae.
GGUAGGGUGGCCGAAGUUAGGCGGUGGGUUGUAGCCCCUCUAAUAAAGGUUUAAGUCCUUUCUCUAUC